This 240-nucleotide unclassified non-coding RNA is filed under the name soil metagenome. RNAcentral's name for it is "partial contains 5.8S ribosomal RNA, internal transcribed spacer 2, and large subunit ribosomal RNA". The record is from RNAcentral.
AACCUUAUGGACCUGCGGGCGUAUACCUGCGGAAGGAUCAUUACAACAAGGUUCCCUGGCCCUCGAAGCUUCGGCGGAGGGGCGCUACAGCCUGACUUUAUACCCACCCUUUGCCUAUGUGUACCCCUAUUGCUUCCCUCGGCGGGCUCGCCCGCCGACAGGAACCAACUAAACCCUUUGCAUUAUACAUUUAACACUUCCGAUACAAAACCAAAUUAUUACAACUUUUAGCAACGGAUC